UAAAGCGUGCGCAGGCGGUUUUGUAAGACUGUCGUGAAAUCCCCGGGCUCAACCUGGGAAUGGCGAUGGUGACUGCAAGGCUAGAGUUUGGCAGAGGGGGGUAGAAUUCCACGUGUAGCAGUGAAAUGCGUAGAUAUGUGGAGGAACACCGAUGGCGAAGGCAGCCCCCUGGGUCAAAACUGACGCUCAUGCACGAAAGCGUGGGGAGCAAACAGGAUUAGAUCCCUAGU
RNAcentral lists this ribosomal RNA (230 nucleotides) under uncultured bacterium. RNAcentral describes it as "partial 16S ribosomal RNA". It matches the Rfam family "Bacterial small subunit ribosomal RNA", at positions 561 to 791 of the family's 1533-position model. The record is from RNAcentral.